UCCCAUAAGAAAGCCAAAGAUCACAUCUUGCUUCCUCCUUCCUUGACACCAACUCGGACUUGCUGUAUGAGUUUUCACCAUACUCAACUCUGAUUCUACUUCUCUCAGCCUCCCCACAAGUUGAUACAACUCGUUCUUCCCUUGCCUUAGACUGUAGAUCACGCCCUUGGCUUCAUGAACCUCCAACCUUGCUGUCUGACCUUCUUCAGCAGCUACCUCCUUUAAAGUUUCCACCUUUACUUGAAUCUCUUCCAACCUUGCUG
This 263-nucleotide long non-coding RNA is filed under the name Brassica napus (rape). RNAcentral describes it as "long non-coding RNA (BNAP_LNC018837)". The record is from RNAcentral. Lineage: Eukaryota; Viridiplantae; Streptophyta; Magnoliopsida; Brassicales; Brassicaceae.